The sequence is a regulatory RNA element, 76 nucleotides long. It matches the Rfam family "L13-Bacteroidia ribosomal protein leader". The record is from Rfam.
GGGGAUGAACUUAGAGUCCCCACUUUCGGGCGUGUUAAUAGUCGUGCUUUUGGCCGAGCGCGACGGUUAGUGAAUC